UUUUCCUAACUCCGGUCGAUGGUAGAGUAAGUGCUAUUGCAUCUUACUGCAAAAUCGGUCCUAUAGUCAAGAAUUCCAGAGUUAAUCUUAUAGGUAGUCUAAUUAAGUUCGUGUUUGAUCUUUAAGUAUAGUUACCCUUGUUUUUCGUAAUUCCACAUUUCCACUUAAAGAUGUUGGUGUUUUGGGUGA
Molecule: long non-coding RNA, 189 nt
Organism: Hibiscus syriacus
Lineage: Eukaryota; Viridiplantae; Streptophyta; Magnoliopsida; Malvales; Malvaceae
Exons: 2
Source: RefSeq, a predicted model, not a curated record